GAAAAUAUUCAAACUAUAUUGGAUGCAUUGCAAUCAUCUACAGUUGUGGAAGUAAAGGGAGAUACAGUAAGGAGGCGAAAUGAUUACGAUAGAUGGAUUAUUCGACCUGGUCAAAUUCCAAUUAUUUCAGGCUCCCCAUUAAGCCCUGGAAGUUCCAAUCAGGAUAUGUUGGCAGCUGGUGUUCAAAGUAUUGCACUAGAG
Molecule: unclassified non-coding RNA, 201 nt
Filed under: Hevea brasiliensis (rubber tree)
Lineage: Eukaryota; Viridiplantae; Streptophyta; Magnoliopsida; Malpighiales; Euphorbiaceae
Source: RNAcentral